GGCCGGCUGAUUAUUUUUUUCCCCUUGUCUUUUGCGCACUUGUUGUUUCCUGGGCGGGUUCCCCCGCCACCAGGACCACCUUUUUUACCUUUUUUUCUUAUGCAGUUUCCAUCACCGUCAGUAAAAACAAUGUAAUUAUUACAACUUUCUCCAACGGAUCUCUUGGUUCUGGCAUCCAUGAAAAACGCAUCGAAAUGGGAUACUUAGUGUGAAUUGCAAAAUUCAGUGAAUCAUCCAAUCUUUGAACGCACAUUGCGCCCUUUGGUAUUCCAAGGGGCAUGCCUGUUCGAGCGUCAUUUGUACCUUCGAGCUUUGCUUGGUGUUGGGCGUUUUUUUGUCUCCCUCUUUCUGGGAGACUCGCCUUAAAACGAUUGGCGGCCGGCCUACUGGUUUCGGAGCGCAGCACAUUUUUUGCGCUUUGUAUCAGGAGAAAAGGACGGUACUCCAUCGAGACUCUACAUUUUUCACUUUUGACCUCGGAUCAGGUAGGGAUACCCGCUGAACUUAAGCAUAUCAAUAGCGGAGGA
RNAcentral lists this ribosomal RNA (527 nucleotides) under Bipolaris oryzae. RNAcentral describes it as "eukaryotic LSU rRNA". The stretch from base 143 to 296 matches the Rfam family "5.8S ribosomal RNA". The record is from RNAcentral. Lineage: Eukaryota; Fungi; Ascomycota; Dothideomycetes; Pleosporales; Pleosporaceae.